AGCGAACGCUGGCGGCAGGCCUAACACAUGCAAGUCGAACGAACUCUUCGGAGUUAGUGGCGGACGGGUGGGUAACACGUGGGAACGUGCCUUUAGGUUCGGAAUAACUCAGGGAAACUUGUGCUAAUACCGAAUGUGCCCUUCGGGGAAAGGAUUUAUCGCCUUUAGAGCGGCCCGCGUCUGAUUAGCUAGUUGGUGAGGUAAAGGCUCACCAAGGCUACGAUCAGUAGCUGGUCUGAGAGGAUGACCAGCCACAUUGGGACUGAGACACGGCCCAAACUCCUACGGGAGGCAGCAGUGGGGAAUCUUGCGCAAUGGGCGAAAGCCUGACGCAGCCAUGCCGCGUGGAUGAUGAAGGUCUUAGGAUUGUAAAAUCCUUUCACCGGUGAAGAUAAUGACUGUAGCCGGAGAAGAAGCCCCGGCUAACUACGUG
RNAcentral lists this ribosomal RNA (433 nucleotides) under uncultured bacterium. RNAcentral's name for it is "bacterial SSU rRNA". It matches the Rfam family "Bacterial small subunit ribosomal RNA", at positions 29 to 507 of the family's 1533-position model. The record is from RNAcentral.